GUCGUUGUAGUAUAGUGGUAA
RNAcentral lists this non-coding RNA (21 nucleotides) under Arabidopsis thaliana (thale cress). Lineage: Eukaryota; Viridiplantae; Streptophyta; Magnoliopsida; Brassicales; Brassicaceae. The record is from RNAcentral.